This 64-nucleotide non-coding RNA is filed under the name unclassified sequences. Its description in RNAcentral is "GP20-b RNA". It matches the Rfam family "GP20-b RNA". The record is from RNAcentral.
GGUCAGUAGAUUAGACCUAAAACAGUCGAUUCGUGGUGGAAGGUUACACACCUAAAACAACCUA